GUGUUCUCGGUGGCUUAGGGGUUAGAGCGCCUGCCUAAUAAGCAGGAGAACCCAGGUUCGAAUCCCGGCAGGGCACA
This is a non-coding RNA of Schistocerca gregaria, 77 nucleotides long. NCBI's taxonomy places the organism in Eukaryota, Metazoa, Arthropoda, Insecta, Orthoptera, Acrididae. The record is from the annotation of a RefSeq genome assembly.